Molecule: long non-coding RNA, 978 nt
Organism: Populus trichocarpa (black cottonwood)
Lineage: Eukaryota; Viridiplantae; Streptophyta; Magnoliopsida; Malpighiales; Salicaceae
Exons: 2
Source: RefSeq, a predicted model, not a curated record
GAAAGAAGUGAAAUGAUGAGCAAAAUACAAGGGAGGGACCAACAUAAUAGAGAAUCAAAUAAUAUAUAGGAAAUCAAAAAAAAUAAAAUCAAAGAUUUAAAAUCCUCAGAGAUGUUCCACUUAAUUGUUAGAUUUUAUUUCAGGGGUUUAACACAGUAGAUAAAGGGAUAAGAGACCAAGAGCAAAUUCCUCAACUGAAUCACCAUCCACACACAGCCUCUCGCCUCCAUUCCACAAACCUCUCUCUGCCACUUCUCAACCAACAAGCCUCAUCACUGUGACAACAGACCACGCCACAAACACGACUUCUCCAAAGUAAUCCUUUCCCAUCCGAGACAAACCCCCGAUCUUUCAUAAUUCAUAACCAAUCAGGAAAUAUCAGCCUAAAACCUCGAUCGAUCUCUGUUUUCUUUUUUGCAGGUUAAGAUUCAACACGUGGAAUCCACGCGUUGUUGCUGUCUGGCACCUUCUUCACUAUCCGUGCAUGCAAGCCACUCACCACCACUUUCUAGAUCAGUUUCAAGUUUCAACAGCUUCUGGUCUGCGUUAGCAGCUUCUAAGGAUUAGGCUACCUGUUAAUCAACCUGUUCUUGGUUCCUGUCAUGUGGAAUGAAGGCGAGGGGCUGUGUGUGGAUGGUGGUUCAGUUGAGGAUUUGCUAUCACAAUUGGAGGAAAGGAAGGCAGCGAUGGCUGAAAGGGAAGGGACUGUCAGUGGUGGCAUGAGAUAGAGGAGAUGUUGUCGUCGGUGGCUGUGGUGUUUAUGUUCAAAGGUUGCUGGAGUAGUCAGAGAAAAGGGGUGCUGACAUGCUAGGGUUAUGUAUUCUUUUAUAUAUAUAUAUAUGGGGCCGUUUUAUUGAAAAGAAAGGGGGGAUGCUUUUCUUUUUCUUCAGUCCCUUCUUCUCCCUCUAUUUAUAGUGUUAAACCUUUUUUAAAAAAAAAAACUUAACAGUUAAUUGGAAGAUUUUUAAGUUUUUUUAA